RNAcentral lists this transfer RNA (66 nucleotides) under Lyreidus brevifrons. RNAcentral describes it as "tRNA-Thr". It matches the Rfam family "tRNA". Rfam says of the family: Transfer RNA (tRNA) molecules are approximately 80 nucleotides in length. The record is from RNAcentral. Lineage: Eukaryota; Metazoa; Arthropoda; Malacostraca; Decapoda; Lyreididae.
GUUUUAAUAGUUUAACUAAAAACUUUGGUCUUGUAAACCAAAAAUGAAAUAUUAAUUCUUAAAACU